AUAUCACUAAGCGGAGGAAUAGAAACUAACAAGGAUUUCCUUAGUAACGGCGAGUGAACAGGAAUAAGCUCACGGUUAUAAUCACAGCUUUCAGUUGUGAAAUGUACCGAGAACAUCCAUCGAAUUUAUCCUAUGAUAAAAGUCUCUUGGAAGUGAGCGUCAUAGAGGGAGAUUGCCCCGUGAAAUCAUAGUAUUGUAAAUUCAUUAAGAUCAUGUUCUGGAGAGUAGUGCUCCUUGGGAAUGGAGUAUGAAUUUGGUGGUAAGAUCCAUCAUAAGCUAAAUAUAUACGAGAGACCGAUAGCGCACAAGUA
RNAcentral lists this ribosomal RNA (311 nucleotides) under uncultured eukaryote. RNAcentral's name for it is "partial large subunit ribosomal RNA". It matches the Rfam family "Eukaryotic large subunit ribosomal RNA", at positions 40 to 350 of the family's 3401-position model. The record is from RNAcentral.